This 245-nucleotide ribosomal RNA is filed under the name uncultured bacterium. RNAcentral describes it as "partial 16S ribosomal RNA". It matches the Rfam family "Bacterial small subunit ribosomal RNA", at positions 527 to 771 of the family's 1533-position model. The record is from RNAcentral.
GUAGGUGGCAAGCGUUAUCCGGAUUUAUUGGGCGUAAAGGGAACGCAGGCGGAAAGAUAAGUCUGAUGUGAAAGCCUUCGGCCCAACCGGAGAAUUGCAUCAGAAACUGUUGAACUUGAGUGCAGAAGAGGAGAGUGGAACUCCAUGUGUAGCGGUGGAAUGCGUAGAUAUAUGGAAGAACACCAGUGGCGAAGGCGGCUCUCUGGUCUGCAACUGACGCUGAGGCUCGAAAGCAUGGGUAGCGA